UACGUAGGGUGCGAGCGUUGUCCGGAAUUAUUGGGCGUAAAGAGCUCGUAGGCGGCCUGUCGCGUCGGAUGUGAAAGCCCGGGGCUCAACCCCGGGUCUGCAUUCGAUACGGGCAGGCUGGAGUGUGGUAGGGGAGUCUGGAAUUCCUGGUGUAGCGGUGAAAUGCGCAGAUAUCAGGAGGAACACCGGUGGCGAAGGCGGGACUCUGGGCCGAUACUGACGCUGAGGAGCGAAAGCGUGGGGAGCAAACAGG
RNAcentral lists this ribosomal RNA (253 nucleotides) under uncultured bacterium. Its description in RNAcentral is "partial 16S ribosomal RNA". It matches the Rfam family "Bacterial small subunit ribosomal RNA", at positions 524 to 776 of the family's 1533-position model. The record is from RNAcentral.